Molecule: long non-coding RNA, 150 nt
Organism: Hibiscus syriacus
Lineage: Eukaryota; Viridiplantae; Streptophyta; Magnoliopsida; Malvales; Malvaceae
Exons: 4
Source: RefSeq, a predicted model, not a curated record
ACCUUAAAAGUAAGCUCCCCUUGGAAACCUCCCGCAACCAUAAAGUUGUCCUUGACAGCUAGAGUGCUUAUUUGAGUUUGUGUAAAACCUUCUAAUAAACUUCCGGGAUGUUUCUAAGUUGGUGCUUCAUCGACAGAAAAAUUCAGGACC